AGAGUUUGAUCCUGGCUCAGAGUGAACGCUGGCGGCAGGCCUAAUACAUGCAAGUCGAACGGCAGCACAGCAGAGCUUGCUCUGUGGGUGACGAGUGGCGGACGGGUGAGGAAUACGUGGGAAUCUGCCCAGUCGUGGGGGAUAACGUAGGGAAACUUACGCUAAUACCGCAUGCGCCCUUCGGGGGACAGCCGGGGACCUUCGGGCCUGGCGCGAUUGGAUGAGCCCACGUCGGAUUAGCUAGUUGGCGGGGUAAAGGCCCACCAAGGCGACGAUCCGUAGCUGGUCUGAGAGGAUGAUCAGCCACACUGGAACUGAGACACGGUCCAGACUCCUACGGGAGGCAGCAGUAGGGAAUAUUGGACAAUGGGCGCAAGCCUGAUCCAGCCAUGCCGCGUGAGUGAAGAAGGCCCUCGGGUUGUAAAGCUCUUUUGUCCGGAAAGAAAAGCGCCGGGUUAAUACCCUGGUGUCCUGACGGUACCGGAAGAAUAAGCACCGGCUAACUUCGUG
This 510-nucleotide ribosomal RNA is filed under the name uncultured bacterium. RNAcentral's name for it is "bacterial SSU rRNA". It matches the Rfam family "Bacterial small subunit ribosomal RNA", at positions 8 to 507 of the family's 1533-position model. The record is from RNAcentral.